This 326-nucleotide ribosomal RNA is filed under the name uncultured eukaryote. RNAcentral's name for it is "partial 18S ribosomal RNA". It matches the Rfam family "Eukaryotic small subunit ribosomal RNA", at positions 1470 to 1796 of the family's 1831-position model. The record is from RNAcentral.
CCCUUAGAUGUUCUGGGCUGCACGCGCGCUACACUGAUGCGUUCAACGAGUUUAUGACCUUGCCCGAUAGGGUUGGGUAAUCUUUUUAAAUCGCAUCGUGAUGGGGAUAGAUUAUUGCAAUUAUUAAUCUUCAACGAGGAAUUCCUAGUAAGCGCGAGUCAUCAGCUCGUGCUGAUUACGUCCCUGCCCUUUGUACACACCGCCCGUCGCUCCUACCGAUUGAGUGGUCCGGUGAAUAAUUCGGACUGCAGCAGUGUUCAGUUCCUGAACGUUGCAGCGGAAAGUUUAGUGAACCUUAUCACUUAGAGGAAGGAGAANUCGUANCA